RNAcentral lists this long non-coding RNA (785 nucleotides) under Rattus norvegicus (Norway rat). RNAcentral describes it as "long non-coding RNA NONRATT025116". Lineage: Eukaryota; Metazoa; Chordata; Mammalia; Rodentia; Muridae. The record is from RNAcentral.
AGGCUCCAUCUUGAUGAAGGAAGCAACCACCUUGCAGAAGGAAUUGUCUCUGGCUGCUAAGAGCUACAGGUGGAGAAUCCAGAUAUCUCAGUCUUGCAUCUACAGGGACAUCCAUUUUCCCAACCAUCUGAGAGACUUUGGAAGUGGAUUUCCCUCCUGUCAACAGCCCAGGCUAAAAGCAAAUGAAAGCGUCCUAUUUCAAAGAUCUCCCAUCUACUGGCAUCGCACACCCCGUCCUAGUCAGACGCUGUGAGAAGUAUUCUUGGAGUGUUAUCAACUACAAAUUCUGAAACAAGUAUGGCUGUUUGCACAGGAUUUCAUGCUGAAUAAUAUAGUAACAUCUAGAAAUUCCUAACCUAGAGGGAGGGGGUUGGGGGGGAGAUCUGGACAGAGUCCCGCAAAUCACUAUUAGAGCUUGAGAAAUGGUCCUCUUCAAGAAACAGGGAGCCUGUCUCCUCUGGACCCCCAUCGUUGUCCUGUUCUCCAUCUUCCAAGCAGGUUUCCUGAAUCUGAAUAGCAUCUAAGUCCUGCUCUGGCUUAUCACUCAGUGCCGAAUCGUGUUUGCUAAGAAGAACCAGUGAAGCAGAUAAGGCAUCCCCGGCUUGCUGGAGAGCUUCAUAAACUCGGGAGAGCCAGGAGGACAAAGGUUGGAAGAAGUUCUGGACAUCUUGAGAUGCCAUGACCAACACCAUGACCAACUACCUCGUGUCUCCAGAGUCUGCUUGUUUGGUUCCUCCAGAACUCUGAACGUACGUGAAAUAUAGCAUGAGCAUAAGGAGAAAUUU